CCUUCCCAAAAAUCCCUACAGCAGCCUGUGGGAUAGCUCCCAUGCUUGGAGCUGGCCAUGGUCUGAGAGAUGGAUGAACAUUCCAGGCAGUGGGAAUGGCACAGUCAGUCCAUAUAAAAACAUCUGAUAAUAUUUUAAUUGACUUCUGAGGGUUUUCUCCAUGAGAAAAGAGUUUGGAGUGACUCAGAGUCUGUAAACUGGGUUAAUGUUCCCUCAGUGCCAAAGGUGCUCUUCCAGGCAUGACAUCCUGCUGGCAAGGGAAAGGGAAUGCCCUGGCAUUGCCAGGCCACCCUGGCAAACCAACACCAUUGCACCACACCAGGGCUUUCCCACCUAAUUCCCCCAAAACCCCCCAUGAGGGUUCAUUGCUCCAGCUUGGGGUGAGCUGCUCCACAGGAGCCCUUGGGUAUCAGCAUUGGGAUUUCCUGGAUAUUAAUAUGGCAAAGCACUUCUUCAGCUCCACAUGGGGUGGGGGCACCCCUGGGAUUUCGGCUCUCAGGGAGCACCUUUUUAAUCCUCUGUGGAAGAGCAUCUCUGUCCCAUCACCUCUGUCCUGUCAUCCCUGUCACCUUCAUCUCUGUCACCAUUGUCCCUGUCUCCAUCAUCCCUGUGCCCAUUAUCCUUGUCCCCAUCGUCCCUGUCACCAUCAUCCCUGUCCCUUCAACCCUGUUGCCAUCACCUCCAUCCCAUCAUCUGUGUCCCCAUCAUCCUUGUCACCAUCAUCUCUGUCCCCACCAUCCUGUCCCAUCACCCCUGUCAUCAUCAUCCCUACUACCAUCAUCUCUAUCACCAUCAUCCCUGUCCCCAUCAUCUCUGUCCCUUCAACCCUGUCACCAUCACCUCUGUCCCAUCACCUCUGUCAUCAUCUCUGUCCUACCAUCCCUGUCCCCAUCAUUCCUGUCAUCAUCAUCCCUGUCACCAUCAUCCCUGUCCCUUCAACCCUGUUGCUAUCACCUCUGUCCCAUCAUCUCUGCCCUACCAUCCCUGUCACCAUCAUCCACCUCUUCAUCACCUCAGUGCCUGUCCCAUCACCUCUGUCACCACCACCUCUGUCACCAUCAUCUCUGUCAUAAUUUCUGUCACCAUCUCUGUCCCAUCAUCCUUGUCACCACCUCUGUCACCAUCAUGCCUGCCCCACAUCUGUCUCCUUAUCUCCAUCACCAUCAUUCCUGUCACCAUCCCCCUGUCCUAUCAUCCCUGUACCCAUCACCUC
Molecule: long non-coding RNA, 1213 nt
Filed under: Junco hyemalis (dark-eyed junco)
Lineage: Eukaryota; Metazoa; Chordata; Aves; Passeriformes; Passerellidae
Description: lncRNA (ENSJHYG00000005490.1)
Source: RNAcentral